GCCGCAGCACGGGAAGCAACUCGCCGAAGGACGAGUUCAUCCUGCCGUUUCUCGGCGACGAAGACGCGUCGGGGAGUGGAAGCGGCUUCGUCCAAGCCAAGAGAAGCAUAUCAAUGAUGCUGGAGAGACCCAUCCACACGGUGCACAUCUACUGGAGGAAGUUCGACGACAGGUUCAUGAGACCAAUCUUCGGUGGACCACGAUCUUACUGACUGGAAUAAUUCUGUGCAAGAGAAGAGGUGGAAUAAUUGGCGCUUUUACGACUGGAGUAUAAUCGAGUUCGGCGACGGUAAUUCAGUGUAACAAUAUGUCUGAAUUUUGUGUCUUUGGUUAGUUACUACUCCUUACUACUUACCAGUGUAAAGUUUGUAACAUGAACAGU
RNAcentral lists this long non-coding RNA (382 nucleotides) under Triticum aestivum (bread wheat). RNAcentral describes it as "long non-coding RNA (TAES_LNC016210)". The record is from RNAcentral. Lineage: Eukaryota; Viridiplantae; Streptophyta; Magnoliopsida; Poales; Poaceae.